GUGGGGAAUAUUCCGCAAUGGACGAAAGUCUGACGGAGCAACGCCGCGUGAGUGAUGAAGGUUUUCGGACUGUAAAGCUCUGUUGUUUAGGACGAAAGUGCCUGUUGCAAAUAGUUACAGGUAUUGAAGGUACUGAACGAGGAAGCCAUGGCUAACUACGUGACAGCAGCCGCGGUAAUACGUAGGUGGCAAGCGUUGUCCGGAAUUAUUGGGCGUAAAGAGCAUGUAGGCGGGAAUCUAAGUCUGUUGUGAAAAUGCGGGGCUCAACCCCGUAUUGCGAUGGAAACUGGGUUUCGUGAGUGCAGGAGAGGAAAGUGGAAUUCCCAGUGUAGCGGUGAAAUGCGUAGAUAUUGGGAGGAACACCAGUGGCGAAGGCGCCUUUCUGGACUGUGUCUGACGCUGAGAUGCGAAAGCCAGGGUAGCGAACGGGAUUAGAUACCCCUGUAGUCC
RNAcentral lists this ribosomal RNA (450 nucleotides) under uncultured bacterium. Its description in RNAcentral is "partial 16S ribosomal RNA". It matches the Rfam family "Bacterial small subunit ribosomal RNA", at positions 354 to 796 of the family's 1533-position model. The record is from RNAcentral.